This 460-nucleotide ribosomal RNA is filed under the name uncultured bacterium. RNAcentral's name for it is "partial 16S ribosomal RNA". It matches the Rfam family "Bacterial small subunit ribosomal RNA", at positions 338 to 795 of the family's 1533-position model. The record is from RNAcentral.
CCUACGGGCGGCAGCAGUGAGGAAUAUUGGUCAAUGGACGAGAGUCUGAACCAGCCAAGUAGCGUGAAGGAUGACUGCCCUAUGGGUUGUAAACUUCUUUUAUAUGGGAAUAAAACGUUCCACGUGUGGGAUUUUGUAUGUACCAUAUGAAUAAGGAUCGGCUAACUCCGUGCCAGCAGCCGCGGUAAUACGGAGGAUCCGAGCGUUAUCCGGAUUUAUUGGGUUUAAAGGGAGCGUAGGAGGAUUGUUAAGUCAGUUGUGAAAGUUUGCGGCUCAACCGUAAAAUUGCAGUUGAAACUGGCAGUCUUGAGUACAGUAGAGGUGGGCGGAAUUCGUGGUGUAGCGGUGAAAUGCUUAGAUAUCACGAAGAACUCCGAUUGCGAAGGCAGUUCACUGGACUGCAACUGACACUGAGGCUCGAAAGUGUGGGUAUCAAACAGGAUUAGAUACCCUUGUAGUC